This 253-nucleotide ribosomal RNA is filed under the name uncultured bacterium. RNAcentral's name for it is "partial 16S ribosomal RNA". It matches the Rfam family "Bacterial small subunit ribosomal RNA", at positions 524 to 776 of the family's 1533-position model. The record is from RNAcentral.
UACGUAGGAUGCGAGCGUUGUCCGGAAUUAUUGGGCGUAAAGGGCUCGUAGGCGGUUUGUCGCGUCGGGAGUGAAAUCCACUGGCUUAACUGGUGGCUUGCUUUCGAUACGGGCAGACUGGAGGUAUGCAGGGGAGAACGGAAUUCCUGGUGUAGCGGUGAAAUGCGCAGAUAUCAGGAGGAACACCGGUGGCGAAGGCGGUUCUCUGGGCAUGUCCUGACGCUGAGGAGUGAAAGUGUGGGGAGCGAACAGG